RNAcentral lists this ribosomal RNA (477 nucleotides) under uncultured bacterium. Its description in RNAcentral is "bacterial SSU rRNA". It matches the Rfam family "Bacterial small subunit ribosomal RNA", at positions 29 to 521 of the family's 1533-position model. The record is from RNAcentral.
AACGAACGCUGGCGGCGUGGAUAAGACAUGCAAGUCGAACGGGACAGUCUUGUAGCAAUAUGAGACUGUUCAGUGGCGAACGGGUGCGUAACACGUGGGUCACAUUCCGGGAAGUGAGAAAUAGCCCAGGGAAACUUGGAUUAAUAUCUCAUGUGGUCGCAAGACUAAAGGCGCAAGCCGCUUCCUGAUUGGCCCGCGGCCUAUCAGCUAGUUGGUGAGGUAAUGGCUCACCAAGGCAACGACGGGUAGCUGGUCUGAGAGGACGACCAGCCACACUGGAACUGAGACACGGUCCAGACACCUACGGGUGGCAGCAGUCGAGAAUCUUUCACAAUGGGCGAAAGCCUGAUGGAGCGACGCCGCGUGGAGGUUAAGGUCUUCGGAUUGUAAACUCCUGUCAUGCGAGAACAAAGCCCGCAAGGGUCUGAUAGUAUCGCAAGAGGAAGAGACGGCUAACUCUGUGCCAGCAGCCGCGGU